This 478-nucleotide ribosomal RNA is filed under the name uncultured bacterium. Its description in RNAcentral is "partial 16S ribosomal RNA". It matches the Rfam family "Bacterial small subunit ribosomal RNA", at positions 28 to 523 of the family's 1533-position model. The record is from RNAcentral.
GACGAACGCUGGCGGCGUGCCUAACACAUGCAAGUCGAACGGUAAGGCCCUUCGGGGUACACGAGUGGCGAACGGGUGAGUAACACGUGGGUGAUCUGCCCUGCACUUCGGUAUAAGCCUGGGAAACUGGGUCUAAUACCGGAUAGGACUCCGGACUACCUGGUCUGGGGAGGAAAGCUUUUGCGGGGGGGGAGGGGCCCGGCGCCUAUCAGGUUGUGGGUGGGGUGAUGGCCUACCAAGGCGACGACGGGUAGCCGGCUUGAGAGGGUGACCGGCCACACUGGGACUGAGAUACGGCCCAGACUCCUACGGGAGGCAGCAGUGGGGAAUAUUGCACAAUUGGCGCAAGCCUGAUGCAGCGACGCCGCGUGAGGGAUGACGGCCUUCGGGUUGUAAACCUCUUUCAGCAUCGACGAAGCGAAAGUGACGGUAGGUGCAGAAGAAGGACCGGCCAACUACGUGCCAGCCGCCGCGGUAA